Molecule: small RNA, 705 nt
Filed under: Echinophyllia echinoporoides
Lineage: Eukaryota; Metazoa; Cnidaria; Anthozoa; Scleractinia; Lobophylliidae
Description: eukaryotic LSU rRNA
Rfam family: 5.8S ribosomal RNA (bases 325-478)
Source: RNAcentral
ACAGAGCGCCGGAUGCCGGAAAGUUGGUCAAACUUGAUCAUUUAGAGGAAGUAAAAGUCGUAACAAGGUUUCCGUAGGUGAACCUGCGGAAGGAUCAUUACCGAUACAGUCCGACAACAACUUUGUUGUUUGCCCUGUGAACCGUACCUGACCAUUAUUAGGGGUCGGCCGGCCAGGCCGUUAAAUGGCGAUCGGACGCGACCGGAGACAAGGUCGCGGCCGCCCCGCCCGCCCCGCCGGUGUUUUGACAACGUACGCUUCUGUGGUCUGAUCUUGCGGCCUGCCCGAUGGCGGCGGCCGACAGUUGCAAAAUGAAAGAGAGACAACUUUUGACGGUGGAUCUCUUGGCUCACGCAUCGAUGAAGAACGCAGCCAGCUGCGAUAAGUAGUGUGAAUUGCAGAAUUCAGUGAAUCAUCGAAUCUUUGAACGCAAAUGGCGCUCUUGGGUUCUCCCAGGAGCAUGUCUGUCUGAGUGUCGGAUAUCAUCCAUCGCGAGAGCGGGCGCCAGCCCGCGCUUGCGGCGUUGAGGCGUCACGGCCCACCCUGUGGCGGCCGUGUCCCUUGAAAGGCAGCGAGACUCGCUGCGGUCUGUUUCCCACAGCGCAGCAGCGGAGGCCAAAAGUGUUGGCGAUCCUCCGCGCGCUGGCGGGGUCCCGGCCGCGCGAGUCGUCCAGGCGAGAGUUGAUUUAUCUCUUGACCUCAGAU